Molecule: ribosomal RNA, 484 nt
Filed under: uncultured bacterium
Lineage: Bacteria
Description: partial 16S ribosomal RNA
Rfam family: Bacterial small subunit ribosomal RNA
Source: RNAcentral
AUUGAACGCUGGCGGCAGGCCUAACACAUGCAAGUCGAGCGGAUGAAGGGAGCUUGCUCCUGGAUUCAGCGGCGGACGGGUGAGUAAUGCCUAGGAAUCUGCCUGGUAGUGGGGGAUAACGUCCGGAAACGGGCGCUAAUACCGCAUACGUCCUGAGGGAGAAAGUGGGGGAUCUUCGGACCUCACGCUCUCAGAUGAGCCUAGGUCGGAUUAGCUAGUUGGUGGGGUAAAGGCCUACCAAGGCGACGAUCCGUAACUGGUCUGAGAGGAUGAUCAGUCACACUGGAACUGAGACACGGUCCAGACUCCUACGGGAGGCAGCAGUGGGGAAUAUUGGACAAUGGGCGAAAGCCUGAUCCAGCCAUGCCGCGUGUGUGAAGAAGGUCUUCGGAUUGUAAAGAACUUUAAGUUGGGAGGAAGGGCAGUAAGUUAAUACCUUGCUGUUUUGACGUUACCAACAGAAUAAGCACCGGCUAACUUCGUG